This is a long non-coding RNA of Sceloporus undulatus (fence lizard), 680 nucleotides long. RefSeq lists it as uncharacterized. NCBI's taxonomy places the organism in Eukaryota, Metazoa, Chordata, Lepidosauria, Squamata, Phrynosomatidae. The transcript has 3 exons. The record is from RefSeq and is a predicted model, not a curated record.
GCGGCCUCCUAGUCCUCCCCAGGCCCCCUGGCUGCAAAUCACGGCCCAGGCGUCGGCCUCCUCCUGACUGAAGGAGGGAGGAGAACAGCAGGGUCCCUCGCGGGGCCUGGCGGGUGUCAGCUGAGGGAGAGACGGAAGAGAAGAGUCUUGGUCCUUUCCGCCCCCGGCUAUAGUCAGCCUCAGCUGAGGGACUUCUGGAAAGGGAAAGCAGACACCAGACACAGAGCAGCUCCUCCACCUCUUUAGAUCUCUUUCAGAAGAAUCUAGUUAGUGCUACUUCAAAGAGGCUCAGUCAUCCUUGAUGAUGGCAGCAUCUAGCGGUGGCUUGUGUGUAAAGCAACAUUGACAGCAGGCUGUUGCAGAAGCUUGGUCUGAUCACCUGUAGACUGGAUGACUAGAUGUCAUAACUGCAAAGGAGGACAGGCAAUAUAACAAACUUUGUAAAAUGCUGGAUGUUCAAGAAAAAAUGAAGGACAAUUCAAAAUAAAUGUUAAAAACAUUAAUGCAAAUAUAAAUCCAUCUUUCUUAGUCAUGCUUUAAAUGGAGGACAUUUUGGAAUUCCUCCUGGACAGAAGGUUGAAAAGUAGGGCAUGUCCUGGAAAAGGAGGAUGUCUCGUCACCUUGCUUGCAGAGGACUUUUGAAAUUAGGCUGAGAGGCAUAUAGGAUCAGACUGAGGGCU